Non-coding RNA from Penaeus vannamei (Pacific white shrimp), 383 nucleotides. Lineage: Eukaryota; Metazoa; Arthropoda; Malacostraca; Decapoda; Penaeidae. The record is from RefSeq and is a predicted model, not a curated record.
UAAGGCGUGACUCCUUGCUGUCGACGCAUAGUCUUCGCUGAGUUCACAGCAAGAACAUUCAACAUGAAGCUGAUCUCGAUGGCUCUGGCCCUGGUGGUGGCCCUGGCAUGCCUGGUGAGCUGGACCAGCGCCAUGCCUCAGCCUGACCCCGUGGCUGACCCUGACCCCGCGGCUGACCCUGGCUUCCGUCGCUUCGGUGGAUUGGGAUAUGGUGGAUACGGCUACGGAGGUCGUGGCUACGGGGGCUACGGCUACGGAGGAUAUCGCGGUGGCUUUUACGGAUAAAGAUAUCCUACUUCCCGCUUUUUGAAAAGAACAUCCUAAACAAUGCUACAUGAACUUAACUUCCUGUUUUUCUUCUCAAAUAAACUUCAUGAAUCAAU